AGAUUUAUAGUUCUUAGCCUCUGUACCAACCUGCCCCACCUGAUGGCCCUCCCAUCUCUCCUCAAGCAAUUGUUCAAUGACACCCAUGCAGCCUCCCAGUUGCCAUGGAAAUGGCAAGAAUGCCUCUAAUAGGAAGUAAGAAUGGAAGAAGAUGAUUGUGCAGAUUCCUCAAGCAAUUCCUGAGCAAAUUCUCCACUACCCUUUGCAUCCAGAGUCAAGGAUUUCUCUGGGUUACAGGAACGGCACUGAGGCUUUCAACAUCCUCACCCUGGCAAGCUGGUUGCCUCCUUUUGCCCAGCAGUGCCACAGCACUACUCUGCACAGCAACUCAGCUCCCUUCUUUCAGCUGGAUUCCUUUUGUGAGACUGUAAUUCUGAAACACCCAGUGAAACUGGAACAGGAACAAGAAAGGGAAUUCUUCUGUGAUUACCCCAAAUCACUUGUUGUCUGUAGAAAACUUACAGUGGUGCAUCCAUGGGCAGGGCAUGAAGAGAGAGUCCACAGAGGAGCUCGACCUUCUCAUCUUCCCAGAGAUCUAAAGAGCAGGUGUGGUGAGGACCAUCACUGAGGUCAAUCAGAAAUACCUGCUUGCUCCUGCCUUCAUGAGAGAUGGCUCUAUUUAGCCACACAGACACAUCCUUUUUCUACCUAGGCCUAUCAACCUAAUAGGAAAUGGAGGCUCUGAAGACUAGUUUUACAAGGGGGUAAAGGAAAGUCUAGGAGGAAAAUGUGGAGGAGAGUGAAGUCGGGCGCCAAGAGAGCAGAAGCAUUGAAAAUGUUUGGGACUAGAUGAGAGACAGCCAAGGUUGGGGCACUAGUGGGGGCAGAUGGGAGAAGAGGGUACAGAGCAACUGGGCAUCUGAAGGCCUGUCCAGCCCUGAGGUGCCCACUCCUGUGUCGUCAAGCAGCUCGUUCCCUUCCUCAGAUCUCGGAUUUUGCCUCCAUGGAGAUCUCUUCCAUCUCUGACAUUUAAUGUUCUAGAGAUAGAGUGAACAGACACAGGAAGUUGAAGCAGUAUCAGAAAGUUUCAGAAAUGCCUGCAGAGCAGCAGAGGCUUGGGCUCCAAAAAACACACUGCAGGGACACUUCUUCCCACGAUUUUCUAAGGACCAGAUGUGCCUCUUCUUAUACUGGGUAUUAAUCCCAAACUCCCUUAUCAUACAUUUAAACUGUUUGCCUAACUGUCCAGCUCUUAAUUAGGCAUGUAACUGGGGAAUCAGGGACAAUACACAAAUGAGCAAACAAUCCCCAAACUUUAUUUCUGUUAUUGCCUACAACUUCCUCCCACAGGCAUUAAGUAGCCAAGCUGAAUUUUUUGCCCUACAGUCAUUUCCUUUUCCACUUCAUUUUCUAAUCCAAACGUUUGAGGGUGAAGUGCUUGGGGCCUUAUUUAAACCACCAGCUGGAAAACAGUCCUCAGCAAAAUAGAGGCAUGAAUAAGAGGCAAACAUACAUGUAGACAGACAAUUAUUGUUGUGUGAGACUCAUCUUUGAUUUCAAUUUGGGAACUGAGUUGAGUUCAAUGCUGUCUCUUCAUCUGUUUCUGUUAUAACUGCAGGAAGCAGAGGGUUUUUGACUUCUCAACAUGGUAAAACAAACAAACAAACAAAAACAAAAUAA
Molecule: long non-coding RNA, 1620 nt
Filed under: Pongo abelii (Sumatran orangutan)
Lineage: Eukaryota; Metazoa; Chordata; Mammalia; Primates; Hominidae
Description: lincRNA
Source: RNAcentral